Molecule: unclassified non-coding RNA, 376 nt
Filed under: soil metagenome
Description: partial contains 5.8S ribosomal RNA, internal transcribed spacer 2, and large subunit ribosomal RNA
Rfam family: 5.8S ribosomal RNA (bases 1-120)
Source: RNAcentral
GAUGAAUAACGUAGUGAAAUGCGAUAAGUAAUGUGAAUUGCAGAAUUCAGUGAAUCAUCGAAUCUUUGAACGCAUCUUGCGCUCCUUGGUAUUCUGAGGAGCAUGCCUGUUUGAGUGUCAUUAAAUUCUCAACUACACUGACUUUGAAUUGGUGUGGCUUGGAUUUGGGGGGAAAAUUGUUGUGGGCUUUUUGUAUAGUCUGCUCCCCUGAAAUUGAUUAGCGGUACCUUUGUGGAACUGUCUACAGGUGUGAUAAUUAUCUACAUCUUAGACAUCUGCUGGAAUGCUGCUUUCUAAACCUUACUUGUAUUGACAAUCUUGACCUCAAAUCAGGUAGGACUACCCGCUGAACUUAAGCAUAUCAAUAAGCGGAGGA